This is a small nucleolar RNA of Panicum virgatum (switchgrass), 139 nucleotides long. RefSeq annotates it as small nucleolar RNA Z247. The transcript has a single exon. NCBI's taxonomy places the organism in Eukaryota, Viridiplantae, Streptophyta, Magnoliopsida, Poales, Poaceae. The record is from RefSeq and is a predicted model, not a curated record.
AAACUUGAUGAUGACGAACUCGUGUCCUACAUUCUGACAGGUCUUGACAUUGAAUACAAUCCUGUUGUUUCCGCCGUUGCAGCUCGUGUCGAGGCCAUUACUGUGCAGGAGCUAUACACACAGCUCGUGAGUUUCGAGC